Molecule: ribosomal RNA, 351 nt
Filed under: uncultured bacterium
Lineage: Bacteria
Description: bacterial SSU rRNA
Rfam family: Bacterial small subunit ribosomal RNA
Source: RNAcentral
AACGGAGCUUCGGCUCUGGGAUCAGUGGCGAACGGGUGCGUAACACGUGGGCAACCUGCCCUUCACUCUGGGAUAACCCCGGGAAACCGGAGCUAAUACCGGAUACUCCGCUCCCACCCCAUGGCGGGAUCGGGAAAGGUCCGCCGGUGAGGGAUGGGCCCGCGGCCUAUCAGCUUGUUGGUGAGGUAACGGCUCACCAAGGCGACGACGGGUAGCUGGUCUGAGAGGACGACCAGCCACACUGGGACUGAGAUACGGCCCAGACUCCUACGGGAGGCAGCAGUGGGGAAUCUUGCACAAUGGGCGAAAGCUUGAUGCAGCGACGCCGCGUGAGGGAUGAAGGCCUUCGGG